AUACGGAGGAUCCGAGCGUUAUCCGGAUUUAUUGGGUUUAAAGGGUGCGUAGGCGGACGAUUAAGUCAGCUGUGAAAUGCCCGCGCUUAACGCGGGAAGUGCAGUUGAUACUGGUUGUCUGGAGUGCCGUUGCCGUGGGGGGAAUGUGUAGUGUAGCGGUGAAAUGCAUAGAUAUUACACAGAACGCCGAUUGUGAAGACACCUCACGAAGCGGUAACUGACGCUGAGGCACGAAAGCGUGGGGAUCGAACAGGAUUAGAUACCCUGGUAGUCCACGCAGUAAACGAUGAUGACUAACCGUCGGUCAAGACUGAUCGGUGGCCAAGCGAAAGCGAUAAGUCAUCCACCUGGGGAGUACGACCGCAAGGUUGAAACUCAAAGGAAUUGACGGGG
Molecule: ribosomal RNA, 393 nt
Filed under: uncultured bacterium
Lineage: Bacteria
Description: partial 16S ribosomal RNA
Rfam family: Bacterial small subunit ribosomal RNA
Source: RNAcentral